Molecule: ribosomal RNA, 406 nt
Filed under: uncultured bacterium
Lineage: Bacteria
Description: partial 16S ribosomal RNA
Rfam family: Bacterial small subunit ribosomal RNA
Source: RNAcentral
AUUGAACGCUGGCGGCAGGCCUAACACAUGCAAGUCGAACGAGUGGCGGACGGGUGAGUAAUGUCUGGGAAACUGCCUGAUGGAGGGGGAUAACUACUGGAAACGGUAGCUAAUACCGCAUACCAUCGGAUGUGCCCCGAUGGGAUUAGCUAUGAGGUGGGGUAAAGGCUCACCUAGGCAACGAUCCCUAGCAGGUCUGAGAGGCUGCCCAGCCACACUGGACCUGAGACACGGUCCAGAUCCCUACGGGAGGCAGCAGUGGGGAAUAUUGCACAAUGGGAGCAAGCCUGAUGCAGCCAUGCCGCGUGUAUGAAGAAGGCCUUCGGGUUGUAAAUUACUUUCAGCGGGGAGGCGUUACCCGCAGAAGAAGCACCGGCUAACUCCGUGCCAGCCGCCGCGGUAAUAC